ACUGGCUCAGGAUGAACGCUGGCGGCGUGCCUAAUACAUGCAAGUCGAACGCUUUGUCUUUAAUUGAUAUGAAGAGCUUGCUCUGAUUUGAUUUUAUCUGACAAAGAGUGGCGAACGGGUGAGUAACACGUGGGUAACCUACCUCUUAGCAGGGGAUAACAUUUGGAAACAAGUGCUAAUACCGUAUAAUACCAACAACCGCAUGGUUGUUGGUUGAAAGAUGGUUCUGCUAUCACUAAGAGAUGGACCCGCGGUGCAUUAGCUAGUUGGUAAGGUAACGGCUUACCAAGGCAAUGAUGCAUAGCCGAGUUGAGAGACUGAUCGGCCACAAUGGGACUGAGACACGGCCCAUACUCCUACGGGAGGCAGCAGUAGGGAAUCUUCCACAAUGGGCGCAAGCCUGAUGGAGCAACGCCGCGUGUGUGAUGAAGGGUUUCGGCUCGUAAAACACUGUUAUAAGAGAAGAACGGCACUGAGAGUAACUGUUCAGUGUGUGACGGUAUC
This 504-nucleotide ribosomal RNA is filed under the name Weissella paramesenteroides. RNAcentral's name for it is "bacterial SSU rRNA". It matches the Rfam family "Bacterial small subunit ribosomal RNA", at positions 18 to 479 of the family's 1533-position model. The record is from RNAcentral. Lineage: Bacteria; Bacillati; Bacillota; Bacilli; Lactobacillales; Lactobacillaceae.